This 407-nucleotide ribosomal RNA is filed under the name uncultured bacterium. RNAcentral's name for it is "partial 16S ribosomal RNA". It matches the Rfam family "Bacterial small subunit ribosomal RNA", at positions 30 to 526 of the family's 1533-position model. The record is from RNAcentral.
AUUGAACGCUGGCGGCAGGCCUAACACAUGCAAGUCGAGCGGAGCGGCGGACGGGUGAGUAAUGCCUAGGAAUCUGCCUGGUAGUGGGGGAUAACGUCCGGAAACGGGCGCUAAUACCGCAUACUAUCAGAUGAGCCUAGGUCGGAUUGGCUAGUUGUGGGGGUAAAGGCCUACCAAGGCGACGAUCCGUAACUUGUCUGAGAGGAUGAUCAGUCACACUGGAACUGGUACCCGGUCCAGACUCCUACGGUAGGCAGCAGUGGGGAAUAUUGGAAAAUGGGGGAAGGCCUGAUCCAGCCAUGCCGCGGGUGUGAGGAAGGUCUGCGGAUUGUAAAGCACUUUAAGUUGGGAGGCGUUACCAACAGAAUAAGCACCGGCUAACUUCGUGCCAGCAGCCGCGGUAAUAC